UGCUCAUCACAGAAGACGACUGUCUGGUGAAAGGCUCAGCCAUAUCAAAGUUCAGUGAUGUUGGGGGACGUUGCUGUUCCAUGUCUGGGGAUCGCAUCAUGAAGGACAUUUUAGCUGACACUUACAAGGGAGAGAACUCUAGGUCUGCACCAAAAGAGAGAACCAGCAUUGAUAUCGAGUUUGACCAGGAACAGCACCAGUCUGCCUGAAGAAUCCCCAGUCCAGGACGAUCCUUGCCUCCCACCCCCCCCGACCCCUAGCUCCUCCACCCUGACCUCUGGCCUCAAAGGGUCAUCAUAGUUGAAUUCAAGCGCUGUACUCAACAACCGCAAUGUCUGUGUCGAGUUUUCAACACUCAAGACUGAGUAGUUUUGUUGAGCUCGAGUGCCAGAGUGGGACAGACACAAUGAGUUAUAGAAGUAGUUAUGGUAACACUAACAGUCAGUUCCUGCCGUAUGACAUCACAACUAAUAUCACGAAGAAUAAAAAGUUGAUUAAUUUGUUCCAUUCUUUAUGGGACAAACAUAAAUUCAGCGAGGAUCGGGGAAAAUCAAGGAAAUUUUAACAAUUGAAGUGAUUAAUUCACAUGAGUAAGCUUUCCAAGCAGAAUACUUUUGCUGUCUAUAGUUUGGACAGUAGUAGAUUUACAAACGCGCUUUUGAUGCUGUUGCUGACAAAGAAAGGCAGUAACUACUUCAUUGUGAACACCCAGGGCACGAUACACCCAUGGGGUUUGCCUAAAAUGUGAAUUCCGCCCAAUAUUGUAAACAAGGUGCUAAAAGUAAACACGUCCGGUUUUGUUACGUGCGCUUUGCACUCCAAGCCCAAAGCACAUAGAAUCAACGCCAGAAAAGGCUUAGAAAAUGACAGCAGUUUCGUUGUGUGAUCCAGUAAGGACUCUGAACGACAUUAAUGAGACCUCAAACUUGACCAUAGCACUCACAGCGAGGCCAUCAUGUUAUCUCAGCUUCUUGAGCUUCAGCAAACAUUAUUAGCCAACAAGAUGAAAACAUCAUUGAAGUGAAAGUCAAAAACAAUCCUGACUACCUUCGGGCACAAAUACUACAACUUGCUGAAGAAAUUCAGCACGAAUAUGUCUUGCGUCAGCCUAGCACGCCUCCUAUUAACUCUUCCAACAGCGGAGCCUUGAGCUAGUUCCUAGCAAUCAUAGAUCGGUACCCUGCUGAAAAACAGGAUCUCUGGUCAGCUGGGCCCAGAUGCCCAGCAACACUUCCUGGCACAGGACCUUGGGGCAAAUGCUCAACAUGUCCUAUCUGCAUGGUGAAGCCAGUCUAAUUCUUGGGCUCCAAACUUUCCUGCUGUGGGGCCGAGAUUACCUCAUCCAUAAGAGGCCUUAUACUCACAAGUUCAGGCCCAGAGAACGAUGUUCCCCAACUACAACACAACCAGUACGUCUCAUUAGAGGACACCCUUCCUGAAAACCUUGCUGGGUGCGACUGCGCCAUAUGUGACCCUUCAGUGAAAUGAGAUUCCAGGCGGAAUGUCAAACCGGUACUACUCCGGUCUCCAGCAAUAGCCUCAGCCUUGGACGCAGCUUAUCGUGUUAAGUGUUUGGCAGUACCAAGCCUAGUCGACGCAGCAGCAAAAACAACAGUAGCAGUCUAAAAACCUGGGUUGCAGAGCAAUGAGUAUGUCCCAUGAGCAUUUGCAGUCAUCGUCUCCAGAUUAUGAGUUUCCCAUGCUACACAACCCUCAGUCUAUGAACAUCAUGCAGAGCGAACCUUGGACGUCCCUUGACGAAAUCAAACCAGCAAAUCAGACGGACAGCCUAUUGCUACCGUUGUUAUCAUAUUAACCCCAUACCGAAGAAGCUCAGAGAUAUAAAUGCUGUUUAAUAUGUGCUAGUCUCAACAUACCCCGUGUCUGGUGUGAACAUGUACAAUUGAAGGUCUCUACAUACCCCAUGUCUGGUGUGAACAUGUACAAUCGAAGGUCUCUACAUACCCCAUGUCUGGUGUGAACAUGUACAAUUGAAGGUCUCUUCAUACCCCAUGUCUGGUGUGAACAUGUACAAUUGAAGGUCUCAACAUACCCCAUGUCUGGUGUGAACAUGUACAAUUGAAGGUCUCUACAAUACUCCAUGUCUGGUGUGAACAUGUACAAUUGAAGGUCUCUACAUACCCCAUGUCUGGUGUGAACAUGUACAAUUGAAGGUCUCUACAUACCCCAUGUCUGGUGUGAACAUGUACAAUUGAAGGUCUCUACAUACCCCAUGUCUGGUGUGAACAUGUACAAUUGAAGGUCUCUACAUACCUCAUGUCUGGUGUGAACAUGUACAAUUGAAGGUCUCUACAUACCUCAUGUCUGGUGUGAACAUGUACAAUUGAAGGUCUCUACAUACCCCAUGUCUGAUGUGAACAUGUACAAUUGAAGGUCUCUACAUACCCCAUGUCUGGUGUGAACAUGUACAAUUGAAGGUCUCUACAUUCCUCAUGUCUGGUGUGAACAUGUACAAUUGAAGGUCUCUACAUACCCCAUGUCUGAUGUGAACAUGUACAAUUGAAGGUCUCUACAUACCCCAUGUCUGGUGUGAACAUGUACAAUUGAAGGUCUCUACAUACUCCAUGUCUGGUGUGAACAUGUACAAUUGAAGGUCUCUACAUACCCCAUGUCUGGUGUGAACAUGUACAAUUGAAGGUCUCUACAUACCCCAUGUCUGGUGUGAACAUGUACAAUUGAAGGUCUCUACAUACUCCAUGUCUGGUGUGAACAUGUACAAUUGAAGGUCUCUACAUACCCCAUGUCUGAUGUGAACAUGUACAAUUGAAGGUCUCUACAUACUCCAUGUCUGGUGUGAACAUGUACAAUUGAAGGUCUCUACAUACUCCAUGUCUGGUGUGAACAUGUACAAUUGAAGGUCUCUACAUACCCCAUGUCUGGUGUGAACAUGUACAAUUGAAGGUCUCUACAUACCCCAUGUCUGAUGUGAACAUGUACAAUUGAAGGUCUCUACAUACCUCAUGUCUGGUGUGAACAUGUACAAUUGAAGGUCUCUACAUACCCCAUGUCUGAUGUGAACAUGUACAAUUGAAGGUCUCUACAUACUCCAUGUCUGGUGUGAACAUGUACAAUUGAAGGUCUCUACAUACUCCAUGUCUGGUGUGAACAUGUACAAUUGAAGGUCUCUACAUACCCCAUGUCUGGUGUGAACAUGUACAAUUGAAGGUCUCUACAUACCCCAUGUCUGAUGUGAACAUGUACAAUUGAAGGUCUCUACAUACCCCAUGUCUGGUGUGAACAUGUACAAUUGAAGGUCUCUGCAUACCCCAUGUCUGGUGUGAACAUGUACAAUUGAAGGUCUCUACAUACCCCAUGUCUGGUGUGAACAUGUAAAAUUGAAGGUCUCUGCAUACCCCAUGUAUGGUGUGAACAUGUACAAUUGAAUGUCUCAUCUUUGAAAUUGGGACACGUGGAAAAUUAGUGACUUGAUUCAGACAGAAAUCGCAUAUUGACAAAUCACAACAAAAAAUGGAAAGCCAGACAGUCUUGUGGCCAGCAAUGUUUUUAUGUGACCAUCCAAGUUGUGUUCAAAGAAAAACAAUAGUUCAUGUUUUAUUGGAACUAUGAUGCUGUCAGUCAUUUUAUGGUGUAGGCUUUAAAUAACUAUAUUUAAAUAUAAUAAGAUAAAGAUUACUUGAUAAAAGCAAUAAUGUAAAAAAGUAUUUUAAGCGCAAAAUUUACAAGUCUAUCCAAUUACUGUGUCUGUAUUAUGACAUUUUAUUUUGGAAAUGUUAAGGAAAAUUUAAUGUUAGUAAAUAUAUGUCUAUGAAUGUUGAUUUUUACAUUUGUCAAAGCUGUUUAAAGGAUGCUGGUAACUUUAACAAAAUUUAAAGAAAUGCAUCAUUUUCAUGUAAUGAGACAUGCUUCAGUUUUUGUGUGUCUUAACUUGUAAUAUAGAGGUGGUAGUUACAAAAAUUGUUUAGCCAGAUGGAGAAUGUUUAUGCUAUGGCUUUGAUACUCUAAAAGUGUGCCCAUUGGUGUCAGGUUUUUAUCAAGAAUAUUGUUUAUUGUCUAACUAUUUCUUGAAAAUAUUGAUUAGUUUUAGACAAAAUCAUUUAAUCUUCCUUAAAUUGUAUAUUCUGUAUUUACGACCAGUUAUUUUUGUUUAUUUUUUAUUUAUUUGCAUGAAUAUGAUUUAAGAAUGACUUUUGUGUUGCUUAAAAUGCUUUGUUUGUUUUGAAACUGAGUAUUUAAAAACGAAAAUAUGAGGUGUAGGAAUAAUGGCCAAAGUUAUGAUAAUUAUAUUUUUUGUUUUUGUAAAGUUUAGUAUGCUUUAUAUGUUUAUGUAUACAUUUAGACGUCCAGAUUAACUUGACCAAUAAUUCGUGAUCACUGUAUAUAUUGGUCAGUACAUUUUUCACUUGUAUAUAGAGCGAUUGCGAAAUGAUUGUAUUUGCAAUGUAAAUCAUGUGUUUAUUGUUGCCAUUUUGAUUUUCGCUGUUAACAUUUAUUUGUAUUAACAAUUUUCAUCAUGUACAUCUUUUAGGUGCCAGAUAAUUAAAAAAAAAACAUCGCUUGUGGGAAUGCUCAUUUGACACUUUCUAAAUGAUACAGAACAACACAUUCUGAAGAGACAAAUAUCCUUUAGACAAUAGGAACAUCUUGUCACUAGUAUAUGUAAUGCCUUUCACUAAAUAAAAUUAAGCAACUAUUGAAAGAUUGGUUUAACUUUAUUUUGCAUUAUCUUAAGAAAAAUUAAUAUAUUCAACUUGGAAAUCGGUCAAUUGCAAAUCAAGCGAGAGUGAUGAAUAUUUGUACGAAAGAUAAAGGGAUGUUUUUGCUUGAAAAAAAGUUGUAUCCCUUGUAAGAUAAUGAUUCUGUUCAUCUCUCAACAUAAGAAGUGCAUUAAUACAGCUUUUAAAAAUAUGACACACUUAAUACUCAGCCAUCAGUUUGUAUUAGGGUUUUUUGGAAUACUUACUUAACUAAUAUACGUCUGUUCAAUGAAUUAAUAGUUAUGGUACAAUAUGAUACUCCUUGUUAAAAAACAUGUGUAAUAAAAAUAUAAUGGCAUUUAUUCGAAAUCAUAAAAUUUAGUUUUCCAUACAAUGCUUACAGCUUUGCAAUUGCGACGAUAAAGUAAAUGUUCUGCUCAAAAUGUCUGUCAAAGACAUGUGUAUAUUGUAGCAAUCAUAUUGUACUAGUAUUUAUAUUAUACAUGAUAAUAAUUGACUUAUGGCUGAUGAUAGCGGCAGUUUACUAGUUGUGUAACAGUUUGUUUCACUCGAUCAUCAGACCAUAUUUCCUUAAACAUUUGAUUUGUUUAUAUUGAACAUUAAUUGAAUGCAUGAAACAUUGUUGUUCUGUUGCUUAAGAGCUAAAAAUAGCUUGAUGUUUGUUAAUUGUGUGAAAUGUUUCAAAUGAAUCAUAUUGAUACAUAGAAAAUAAAAUUACAUUUUGCGUUAAUUUGAAUGCAUAUCAAACAAUUGUUACCAUGCAAGCAUGUUUGUAUUGAACUUAAUUGAUACUUUGAGAUGCAAUUUUUACAAUAAUGUAUAAAUAUUUUCAUCUAUUCCAAAUGAACAUUUUGCAUUCUUAAAUAUAGGGUUUAUAUAUACUUUAUAGAAACUUAUUAAAUGCAUUAUAUAAAUUGAUUGUGUACAUCAUAUUGAUUAAAGACUCUUAUUUAUUGCACAGUUGUGUGUGCAUAUGUCUGACUUAUGUCUUCAUAGUCCUUAAAGUUAAAUUACUGUAAAUAGUAUCAGGGACCUAUACAAACAAUUGUUUGUAUAGGUCCCUGAUAGUAUUUUAAUAAUGUUAAAAUAUUUAUCUAAACUAUAACCUUAAAUUACUGUAAAUAGUAUUUUAAUAAUGUUAAAAUAUUUAUCUAAACUAUAACCAGGUUAUGUGUUAAAUUAAGUGUCAUACAUCUGCAUUGUCUAGCUAAUUGAAGUGUUUAUAUUCUCGCCUACAUGCAGUGUAUGGUUUAGACAAAGCACAUUACACAACUCAUGUUGUUUUAUCCAUCAUUACUAACCAGUGUUUAGUCCGUAGAGGUUAACGUAUACUAAAUAUUUCGGUUGUGCAAUGCUAUGCUCUCUAAAUAAAUCAUUUAACACCAUUUAUUGAUUUUUUAUGUGGGCACUUAAAUUCCCAUGACUUUAUUUGUGAAUAUUUCUUUGAAUGUGCGGUAGGGAAAACAUUGUUUGCUUGAAGGUUUAGAAACUUAAUGUUGACAUCUUGAAAGAUGGCAGAAAACAUUAUACUGCAGAGUAGCUGUGAAAAGAUGUAUGUUGAACAAUGUAAGACAGAACUGCACGCAAGAUAUGUCAUGCAUUCGAUAUGCAUGAACUAUCUUUUUUAAUUAAUUUGGAUCGGAAUUAUCUUUAAGAAAUGGUAUGGUGAUGAGGGUCUCUAUUUGCAAAAUGUUGCAUUUAUUUUGUGUACAAGUUAUUGCUUAAUCAUUGAAUUUGUUAUGGAAAUAAUAUAGUUUAUGUGACUUAAAGAGAUAUACAUGUUUAUGUUAGUGAUGUGUUUUUGCUGAUCCAAGUCUGUUCCUGCACACUAUUUAAAGUAGAUAACUACAAGUUAUCUCAUUUAAAUGGGAAUAGUGUUGUACUGUGGAAAAGUGUUGCGAGUUCAAAUAAAAAUACUAUGAAC
Molecule: long non-coding RNA, 6621 nt
Organism: Dreissena polymorpha
Lineage: Eukaryota; Metazoa; Mollusca; Bivalvia; Myida; Dreissenidae
Exons: 17
Source: RefSeq, a predicted model, not a curated record